Molecule: ribosomal RNA, 425 nt
Filed under: uncultured bacterium
Lineage: Bacteria
Description: bacterial SSU rRNA
Rfam family: Bacterial small subunit ribosomal RNA
Source: RNAcentral
GUGGGGAAUAUUGGACAAUGGGCGAAAGCCUGAUCCAGCCAUGCCGCGUGAGUGAUGAAGGCCUUAGGGUUGUAAAGCUCUUUCAGUAGGGAAGAUAAUGACGGUACCUACAGAAGAAGCCCCGGCUAACUUCGUGCCAGCAGCCGCGGUAAUACGAAGGGGGCUAGCGUUGUUCGGAUUUACUGGGCGUAAAGCGCACGUAGGCGGAUUGGUCAGUUAGAGGUGAAAUCCUGGAGCUCAACUCCAGAACUGCCUUUAAUACUGCCAGUCUAGAGUCCAGAAGAGGUGAGUGGAACUCCUAGUGUAGAGGUGGAAUUCGUAGAUAUUAGGAAGAACACCAGUGGCGAAGGCGGCUCACUGGUCUGGUACUGACGCUGAGGUGCGAAAGCGUGGGGAGCAAACAGGAUUAGAUACCCCAGUAGUCC